CGUAGGUCCCGAGCGUUGUCCGGAUUUAUUGGGCGUAAAGCGAGCGCAGGCGGUUAGAUAAGUCUGAAGUUAAAGGCUCGUGGCUUAACCGAUAGUACGCUUUAGGAAACUUGUUUAACUUGAGUGCAAGAGGGGAGAGUGGAAUUCCAUGUGUAGCGGUGAAAUGCGUAGAUAUAUGGAGGAACACCGGUGGCGAAGCGGCUCUCUGGCUUGUAACUGACGCUGAGGCUCGAAAGCGUGGGGAGCAAACAGGAUU
RNAcentral lists this ribosomal RNA (256 nucleotides) under uncultured bacterium. Its description in RNAcentral is "partial 16S ribosomal RNA". It matches the Rfam family "Bacterial small subunit ribosomal RNA", at positions 526 to 779 of the family's 1533-position model. The record is from RNAcentral.